UACGUAGGGUGCGAGCGUUAAUCGGAAUUACUGGGCGUAAAGCGUGCGCAGGCGGUUCGUUGUGUCGGCGGUGAAAGCCCCGGGCUUAACCUGGGAAUGGCCGUUGAAACUGGCGAACUGGAGUGUGGCAGAGGGGGGUGGAAUUCCGCGUGUAGCAGUGAAAUGCGUAGAGAUGCGGAGGAACACCGAUGGCGAAGGCAGCCCCCUGGGCCAAUACUGACGCUCAUGCACGAAAGCGUGGGGAGCAAACAGG
Molecule: ribosomal RNA, 253 nt
Filed under: uncultured bacterium
Lineage: Bacteria
Description: partial 16S ribosomal RNA
Rfam family: Bacterial small subunit ribosomal RNA
Source: RNAcentral